This 541-nucleotide ribosomal RNA is filed under the name uncultured Hypocreaceae. RNAcentral's name for it is "eukaryotic LSU rRNA". The stretch from base 176 to 329 matches the Rfam family "5.8S ribosomal RNA". Lineage: Eukaryota; Fungi; Ascomycota; Sordariomycetes; Hypocreales. The record is from RNAcentral.
AACGUUACCAAAGUGUUGCCUCGGCGGGAUCUUCUGCCCCGGGUGCGUCGCAGCCCCGGACCAAGGCGCCCGCCGGAGGAAUCAACCAAAACUCUUAUUGUAUACCCCCUCGCGGGUUUUUUUUAUAAUCUGAGCCUUCUCGGCGCCUCUCGUAGGCGUUUCGAAAAUGAAUCAAAACUUUCAACAACGGAUCUCUUGGUUCUGGCAUCGAUGAAGAACGCAGCGAAAUGCGAUAAGUAAUGUGAAUUGCAGAAUUCAGUGAAUCAUCGAAUCUUUGAACGCACAUUGCGCCCGCCAGUAUUCUGGCGGGCAUGCCUGUCCGAGCGUCAUUUCAACCCUCGAACCCCUCCGGGGGGUCGGCGUUGGGGAUCGGCCUUCCUUCACGGGGGCCGUCUCCGAAAUACAGUGGCGGUCUCGCCGCAGCCUCUCCUGCGCAGUAGUUUGCACACUCGCAUCGGGAGCGCGGCGCGUCCACAGCCGUUAAACACCCAACUUUCUGAAAUGUUGACCUCGGAUCAGGUAGGAAUACCCGCUGAACUUA